CCCAUAUAUAAAUAACUACAGCUCCUCGGGGAGUAGAGGGGAGAUGAAAAUCAAGAAAAAGCUUAAAGAUGUGUAUUUUUAAAUUAUAUAUUGUUUUUCAGCAUGUGCAGCAGAUUCAAACCAGGACAUAAAGGUCAAAUCAGUGAACGAUCAGGAAGAGGCAGUAACCUGUAGAAAGAGUGAUGGCAACGUUCCCACCUGCUGAGAGCUGUUAAACAACAAGUGAUCAAUGAAAAGGGGCAGAACAUACAGGCAUCCAACCAGCCAGGAGUGAUGCUGUGGAUAAAAUCUACUAGCCGUUCUUGUAUUGUAAAUCCAUUCAGCACACACAAAGGACCACAUGAGAGUCUGCUUGACUUGUUCCCACUGGAACCCCUCUCUGCUUUUCCUUCACACACCUCCCCUGUCAGAGCUUUGAAGAUACAAAAUACAGAAUUAAUACUCAAAAACCACAGAUCUGUUAUGUAAGUGCCGAGUUUUACAGGUACUAAUGAAGAAAAGAUUAUAUAUCCUAGACAAAAUUUGUAUUUGUACAGAAAUAUUUGCAUCAUCAAGCACACUGUGAUUCAGGAACAACCCAACUAAGGCACAGUUUUUAUCUGAUUUAGCACAGUCAUUGUAUAUAGAACAUUUACUUAUUGUAUAUUCCAGUUUGGAUUAAGAAAAAAAAAAAUUAAAACAUUUCAAGCAGUUUCAAUUUACUGGCAUAGUCUCUACAAAUUAUCUAGCUAUAUAAAUACUUGUAAAUCUGAAAGUACAGUCAGGAAUGCUUCUGUCCUUAUACUAGGAAGUUGCUCAGUUUAGCUCUAGUAAUAUAAAACAUUGAAAUCCUUGCCAUGAAAACAAACUUACCAAUGCAUAUUAUCUAAUAACUACAAUAAAUGUAGCUUAAUUUCAUAAUAAUCA
Molecule: long non-coding RNA, 906 nt
Filed under: Phasianus colchicus (ring-necked pheasant)
Lineage: Eukaryota; Metazoa; Chordata; Aves; Galliformes; Phasianidae
Description: lncRNA (ENSPCLG00000000855.1)
Source: RNAcentral